Molecule: ribosomal RNA, 750 nt
Filed under: uncultured bacterium
Lineage: Bacteria
Description: bacterial SSU rRNA
Rfam family: Bacterial small subunit ribosomal RNA
Source: RNAcentral
GAGUAAGUUGAUCUGCAGUUCGACGGAGUUACCUUUUCUGAAGCGAUUCGCUUGCUAAGAGUGGAAAGGUUGGUAACUUCAGUGGCGGACGGGUGAGUAACGCGUGGAGAACCUGCCUUACGCAGGGGGAUAACACUUAGAAAUAGGUGCUAAUACCGCAUAAGCGCACAGGACCGCAUGGUCCGGUGUGAAAAACUGAGGUGGUGUAAGAUGGCUCCGCGUCUGAUUAGCUUGUUGGUAGGGUAACGGCCUACCAAGGCGACGAUCAGUAGCCGGCCUGAGAGGGUGAACGGCCACAUUGGGACUGAGACACGGCCCAAACUCCUACGGGAGGCAGCAGUGGGGAAUAUUGGACAAUGGGGGAAACCCUGAUCCAGCGACGCCGCGUGAGUGAAGAAGUAUUUCGGUAUGUAAAGCUCUAUCAGCAGGGAAGAAAAUGACGGUACCUGACUAAGAAGCCCCGGCUAACUACGUGCCAGCAGCCGCGGUAAUACGUAGGGGGCAAGCGUUAUCCGGAUUUACUGGGUGUAAAGGGAGCGUAGACGGCAUUGCAAGUCUGAUGUGAAAGAUUGGGGCUCAACCCCAGGCCUGCAUUGGAAACUGUAAAGCUGGAGUACAGGAGAGGUAAGCGGAAUUCCUAGUGUAGCGGUGAAAUACGUAGAUAUUAGGAGGAACACCAGUGGCGAAGGCGGCUUACUGGACUGUAACUGACGUUGAGGCUCGAAAGCGUGGGGAGCAAACAGGAUUAGA